CUCUCGCUCCCAUCUGCUGGGCGUCGCGCGAGCCGGUGGCCUGGGACGAGUCAAGCACGCGUCUCCCCAGAUCACCUCGGCUUCUCCCCUGACGUGACCUGGGGCUCCGUGGCCCACCCUGCCGGACCCCAGCGCAAACACCCUCUUGGCUGCCAUUUUCCUCUUCCCCAGCAAGAGAAGGAGCGCCCCCUGCUGGGCUCUUUGCCAUUCUGGAUUUGUGGUUCCUAUCCCUGUUCCUUCCAAAUAAAUCCCACCCCACCGCCCUCUCCUGCUGAGCAGCCGCCCGAUAACAGGGAAAAAACCAACCCUGUAUCAACAGCCUCUGUGAAAGAGAGAGGCGAGUUUUCUUUCCUGGGACAAGUUUGAUCUUGACAAUUUAAUGGCGUCUAAUGAUGAUUUCCAUUUAAAUUGUUAUUCUUUCCCUGGUUCGGUUCUGCCUUGUUCCGAAUGUGUUUGGGGAACGCUUUCCCUGCUCCUGGAACACUCCAGAGCCGUCUUAUCUCAGGGCCCAGCCGUAUUCCCAGUGUGGCCCCACAAGAGCUGGUCGUGCUGUCUGGGCCAUGCAGGCGUUUCGGUCUCUCUCCUCCAGGGACCUCUCCUUGCACGUUAGGAAGGAAGAUUUUUAUUGCUCUCUUUCGUUUUCAUCUGAUUCAAAUUCUUUCUGAGCCUCCCCCCAAUCCCACCCUGAGAGACGUCCUUUACGACAAAGAAUUUCUUUUAAAAAAAUCAAAAUAAAGUGUCUUUACUGGGCCUGGAUCCCAAAGAGAUCCUAAAGGAGGGAUAGGACCCAGCCGCACUCUUUAUAGUGGUCAAAAACUGAAACUGAGUGGCUGCCCAUCAGUGGGAGAAGGGCUGAGUAAGUGAUGGGAUAUGAAUGUUAUGGAAUAUUACUGUUCUAUAAAAAAUGAUCCCCAGAAUGAUCUCAGAGAGGCCUGGAGAGACUUAUAGGAACUGAUGCUGAGGGAAAUGAGCAGAACCAGGAGAUCAUUGUACACGGCAACAAGAAAAUUAUACGAUGAUCAAUUCUGAUGGACAUGGCUCUCUUCAACAAUAAGAUGAUUCAGGCCAGUUCCAAUGAUCUUGUGAUGGAGAGAAACAUCUGCACCCAGAGAGGACUGUGGGAACUGAGGGUGGUUGACAACCCAGUAUUUUCGCCUUUUUUGUGUUCUGCUUUUUCUUUUUUUUCUUUUUGAUUUUUCUUGAGCAGCACGAUAAUUAUGGAAAUAUGUAUAGAAGAACUGCACCUGUUUAAGUUGUAUUGGAUGACCAACCAUUUAGGGGUGAGGGUGGAGAGGAGAGAAAUUUGGAACACAAAGUUUUGCAAAGGUAAGUGCAUCUAUUUUGAAAAUAACAAGCUAUUUUUUAAAAAGUCAAAAUAAAAAAAGGAAAAAGCGAAAAACAAUUCACAAAAACCAGUGAAGACCGGUUAAAUUAUGUGCAGCAUUCCCCAGCUGGGGCCUCUGACCUCCACAGGAGUCAGGGGCGGUUCAUUCCUUUUUAUACAUUUUCCAAUCAUCCAUUUUAUUAUUUUGGGGGCUGUUGGUUCCAUUGACAUUGUGACAGUCGCUGUUUAUAUAAUAUAUUGUUCUGGCUCUAUUGACUUCACUUGGCCUCAGCUGGGCAGCUAGACGGCACAAUGCAGGAAGACCCGAGUUCCCAUCAUCCCUCAGACACUUCCUAGCUGUGAGGCCCUAAGUAGGUCACUCCCUCUACUCUCAGCCUGUUUUCUCAUCUCCAAAAUGGGGGUAAUACCACUUGCUUCCCAGGGUUGUCUUGAGGAAGAACUCCACAAAGGUUCCAGCUGCCUAGAGAAGCCGCUGGGCUCUGUUCCCGGUGUCUGUUCCCAUCGGCUUUCCCAGAAUCCUCUGCAUCCAUCUUCCACAUCUUUUUUAUGGCACAAUAACAUUCUGCCACAUUGCGUCCCACCAUUCCCCUUCAACAACAGGGCUGAGGGGGAGCCCAGUGGCACAAGUCACAGCUUGGGGAGCAAAGGGAUUGGCCAGCAGGUCUGAGAAAUGAUGGGGGGGGGGGGUAGGAGGCUUCAGAGAGACCCGAGGAGACUCAUCCACAUGGAGGCGAGGGAGCGGGACCCGGGGCAGCACAAGCCGCCACAAAAGCCCCGCCAAGGCCACAGCUAGGAAAGGACGUGGGAACCGGGGCACGGGGGAGCCAGCCCCGGCCAGAAAAAGGAGAAUCAGCUAAUCCCAAGCAGACAGGGCAAAAUGCACAGCAGACCCUGCUCCAAGAAGUGGGAGAAGACACCCCCGGCGGGUGAGUGCUUGCAGACAUUUUUAACGUAUCUCUCAGUUAUGCCCUUUUCCUUUUUUUCUCCCUGAUUUUUUUGUCUUUUAAAAAAAUGUUAUUUAGGGCAGCUAGGGGGCGCAGUAGAUGGGGCAGCGGCCCUGAGGUCAGGAGGACCUGAGUUCAAAUCUGCUCUUAGACACUUAACACUUCCUGGCUGGGUGACCCUGGGCAAGUCGCUUAACCUCAAUUGCCUUAGCAAAAAAAAAAAAAAAAGAUAUUUGUACAUGAGAACCCAUCGAGAAAGAAAAAGGGAGGAAAUUACAAUGAUGUUAAAAAAAUUUUUCUUUAAACUGAUCGGCCACCCAGCUAAGCUGAGUAUUUUUUUCCACGGAAGAAGACGGACAUUUAGUGAAACAGAGGAAUUCCAUCUGUUUCUAAGGAAAAAACCAGACUUAAACAAAAAAUUGGAUUUCCAACAACAGGAAUCCAGAGAAGCAGAAAAAGGAGAAACUAGACAACAUAGUAAAGUAAGAGAAUACAGUUCAACCCAACUCCUCCUCCAACUACUUCAACAAAGAUGAGAAAUUGAAGGAUACACUGCAAGACUCAAGUGUUUCAUUCAAGUCCUCUAUCUUCAGAGUCCAUGUUCUUUUCACUUGCCAUUGUGCUUCCCAUGGUCAGGCACACUGUAACGUGCCCUUGACUCCUGUGCCUCCAAAUCCUGUAUUUGGAGUGACCAAAUGUCUCCUCCCCAACCCACUCACAAAAAAAAAAAAAAAAAAAAAAAAAAAAAAAAAAAAAGAGAGAGAGCACAGGACCUGGAGUCAAGAAGAACUGAAUUCAAAUGUAGCCUCACAUCCUGCCUAGCCCUGGACAAGUCAUUUUACCUUUGCCAAAGUGGAUCCACUGGAUCCACUAGGGGAGAUCUCUGCCAAGAAAAGGCCAAAUGGGGACAACAAGGGCUGGACAAGGCUGUCACAACUGAGCAACAACCAGAGAGAAGUUUUCCUGAUGCCAGGACCGGCCUUCUAGCCACUGUGCCACCCAAAAUGCCCUUAUUAAUAUGCCUAUUAGCAACCUUUGUGUUAUAUAUGUUUAUUUUAAUAUGUGCCUAUUAACACUUUUAUGUUAUAUAUUAUGUGUUCAUUUUAAUAUGUGCCUAUUAACAAUAAAAAAUAAAAUAAAAUAAAAUAAAAUAAACUGAUCGCCCACCCCAAGGCCCGGCCAGCUCCCAGGGGCUCAGGACGAGAGAGGCUCCUGCCGGGGAGCGGCCAAAUGUCACAAGAGCUUUUGUUGUUCUUGUCCAGCCAGGGUUCGAGGAAGUAAGAGGGAGAGGACUUUCCAUUAACUGGAAACAACAACGACAACAAUGUGGUUUCUUAAAUGUGGGUGGGGGUAAGGGAGAGAACCUAGAACUCCACAAUUUUAAAAACAAAUGUAAAAAAACCUGUUUUGAAUGUAACGGGAAAAUAUUAAAUAAAAGGGGGAAAAGAAA
Molecule: long non-coding RNA, 3739 nt
Organism: Antechinus flavipes (yellow-footed antechinus)
Lineage: Eukaryota; Metazoa; Chordata; Mammalia; Dasyuromorphia; Dasyuridae
Exons: 2
Source: RefSeq, a predicted model, not a curated record